This 557-nucleotide long non-coding RNA is filed under the name Sinocyclocheilus grahami. RNAcentral describes it as "lncRNA (ENSSGRG00000008818.1)". Lineage: Eukaryota; Metazoa; Chordata; Actinopteri; Cypriniformes; Cyprinidae. The record is from RNAcentral.
GAGAAAGGAAAAAUUGAAAUUGCAUCAUAUGACCCCUUUAAACAAGUUGUUCAAGUGAAUGCCACCUUGUUGCCAUCUACUGGCGUAACGAGGAGGUCUUCUGAAGAGGUUAGUAACACUUUAGCAUGCAUCAAAUAUCCAUGAGUCUUUAAAAAGCUUUAAAAUAUAAUCAUUGUUAGUCUAUUUUGCUUGUACACCUUAGAUCUAACUCUAAUUUUUAUAUGCAUUUUAAUUAUAGCUCAUAAUACAUCUCGUUCCACAAAGGUAUUAGAAACACUUUCCACAACAUUGGUAACCACAGCCUCUGCUGACAGUCUUGCUGGCCUGGCUGAAAAUAACAGUGAUGGGAGUGAAACAGUGACAACUAAUCUGACAGUAGUAGUGAUGAUGACCACAGUAGUGUCUCUGUGUGUCCUCAUAUCACUGACCAUCUGUGUCAUUCUUUAUUUCAAAAAACAAAGGCGCAAAACCAACAGCCAAACACAGUUAAACAGUCGGAUCUCUGUGUAUUACUCCCAUGUUGCAGAAGGUAAGUGACAUUCAUGUUAAAUGCUUAG